ACGCGCGGAACCUUACCAGGUCUUGACAUCCUUCGCUACUUCUAGAGAUAGAAGAUUCCCCUUCGGGGGACGAAGUGACAGGUGGUGCAUGGUUGUCGUCAGCUCGUGUCGUGAGAUGUUGGGUUAAGUCCCGCAACGAGCGCAACCCUUGAUCUUAGUUGCCAGCAUUCAGUUGGGCACUCUAAGGUGACUGCCGGUGACAAACCGGAGGAAGGUGGGGAUGACGUCAAAUCAUCAUGCCCCUUAUGACCUGGGCUACACACGUGCUACAAUGGACGGUACAAACGGUUGCCAACCCGCGAGGGGGAGCUAAUCCGAUAAAACCGUUCUCAGUUCGGAUUGUAGGCUGCAACUCGCCUACAUGAAGCCGGAAUCGCUAGUAAUCGCGGAUCAGCAUGCCGCGGUGAAUACGUUCCCGGGCCUUGUACACACCGCCCGU
This 439-nucleotide ribosomal RNA is filed under the name uncultured bacterium. RNAcentral describes it as "bacterial SSU rRNA". It matches the Rfam family "Bacterial small subunit ribosomal RNA", at positions 959 to 1397 of the family's 1533-position model. The record is from RNAcentral.